AUAUUUCGGAACUGAGUCUAGUUCCUUCGAUAUCAGUGUAAUCUACACUGAUAUCGAAGGAACUAGACUCAGUUCCUUCGAAG
RNAcentral lists this microRNA precursor (83 nucleotides) under Paramuricea clavata. The record is from RNAcentral. Lineage: Eukaryota; Metazoa; Cnidaria; Anthozoa; Malacalcyonacea; Plexauridae.